CCUACGGGAGGCAGCAGUGGGGAAUAUUGCACAAUGGGGGAAACUCUGAUCCAGCGAAGCCGCGUGAGUGAAGAAGUAUUUCGGUAUGUAAAGCUCUAUCAGCAGGGAAGAAAUAGCGACCUUUGGGUCGCCAGACGGUACCUGACUAAGAAGCCCCGGCUCACUACGUGCCAGCAGCCGCGGUAAUACGUAGGGGGCAAGCGUUAUCCGGGUUUACUGGGUGUAAAGGGAGCGUAGACGGCAGCACAAGUCUGAAGUGAAAUGCCGGGGCUUAACCCCGGAACUGCUGUGGAAACUGUGGAGCUAGAGUGCAGGAGAGGUAAGUGGAAUUCGUGGUGUAGCGGUGAAAUGCGUAGAUAUUAGGAGGAACACCAGUGGCGAAGGCGGCUUACUGGACUGUAACUGACGUUGAGGCUCGAAAGCGUGGGGAGCAAACAGGAUUAGAUACCCCAGUAGUC
This 458-nucleotide ribosomal RNA is filed under the name uncultured bacterium. RNAcentral's name for it is "partial 16S ribosomal RNA". It matches the Rfam family "Bacterial small subunit ribosomal RNA", at positions 338 to 795 of the family's 1533-position model. The record is from RNAcentral.